UCAGAGUCGGAGAACGAGGAGGCGGCCGC
This 29-nucleotide small RNA is filed under the name Bombyx mori (domestic silkworm). RNAcentral's name for it is "ovarian small RNA-25620". Lineage: Eukaryota; Metazoa; Arthropoda; Insecta; Lepidoptera; Bombycidae. The record is from RNAcentral.